UGGUGGAGUGAUUUGUCUGGUUAAUUCCGAUAACGAACGAGACUCUGUCCUGCUAACUAGUCUGACCGCUUCUUUGUCGCGAUCAGAUCUCUUCUUAGAGGGACUGGCGGCGUAUAGCCGCACGAGAAUGAGCAAUAACA
This 140-nucleotide ribosomal RNA is filed under the name uncultured eukaryote. RNAcentral's name for it is "partial 18S ribosomal RNA". It matches the Rfam family "Eukaryotic small subunit ribosomal RNA", at positions 1299 to 1458 of the family's 1831-position model. The record is from RNAcentral.